This 1050-nucleotide ribosomal RNA is filed under the name Virgibacillus sp. RNAcentral's name for it is "bacterial SSU rRNA". It matches the Rfam family "Bacterial small subunit ribosomal RNA", at positions 43 to 1087 of the family's 1533-position model. Lineage: Bacteria; Bacillati; Bacillota; Bacilli; Caryophanales; Bacillaceae. The record is from RNAcentral.
CGAGCGCGGGAAGCAGGUAGAUCCUCUUCGGAGGUGACGCUUGUGGAACGAGCGGCGGACGGGUGAGUAACACGUGGGCAACCUGCCUGUAAGAUUGGGAUAACCCCGGGAAACCGGGGCUAAUACCGGAUAAUACUUUUCGUUGCAUAACGAGAAGUUGAAAGGCGGCUUUUAGCUGUCACUUACAGAUGGGCCCGCGGCGCAUUAGCUAGUUGGUAAGGUAACGGCUUACCAAGGCGACGAUGCGUAGCCGACCUGAGAGGGUGAUCGGCCACACUGGGACUGAGACACGGCCCAGACUCCUACGGGAGGCAGCAGUAGGGAAUCUUCCGCAAUGGACGAAAGUCUGACGGAGCAACGCCGCGUGAGUGAUGAAGGUUUUCGGAUCGUAAAACUCUGUUGUCAGGGAAGAACAAGUGCCGUUCAAAUAGGGCGGCACCUUGACGGUACCUGACCAGAAAGCCCCGGCUAACUACGUGCCAGCAGCCGCGGUAAUACGUAGGGGGCAAGCGUUGUCCGGAAUUAUUGGGCGUAAAGCGCGCGCAGGCGGUCCUUUAAGUCUGAUGUGAAAGCCCACGGCUUAACCGUGGAGGGCCAUUGGAAACUGGAGGACUUGAGUACAGAAGAGGAGAGUGGAAUUCCACGUGUAGCGGUGAAAUGCGUAGAGAUGUGGAGGAACACCAGUGGCGAAGGCGACUCUCUGGUCUGUAACUGACGCUGAGGUGCGAAAGCGUGGGGAGCGAACAGGAUUAGAUACCCUGGUAGUCCACGCCGUAAACGAUGAGUGCUAGUGUUAGGGGGUUUCCGCCCCUUAGUGCUGAAGUUAACGCAUUAAGCACUCCGCCUGGGGAGUACGGCCGCAAGGCUGAAACUCAAAAGAAUUGACGGGGCCCGCACAAGCGGUGGAGCAUGUGGUUUAAUUCGAAGCAACGCGAAGAACCUUACCAGUCUUGACAUCCUCUGCCAUCCUAGAGAUAGGAUGUUCCCUUCGGGACAGAGUGACAGUGUGCAUGGUGUCGUCAGCUCGUGUCGUGAGAUGUGGGUAAGUCC